GGUUAUAUGUAUAUGUUUUGUGGGAGGAAGCUGGCAGCGGGUAAAGUUUGAGUUUUUUGGGCCCUAUGAUUUAUAACUAAAUAUAUAUGUAGUUCGGGCUACCUACAUGAGGGGAAGAUUAUGCUAAGUGGUAAUAUCAUACAGGAUACGUAAUACGGUGUAUGUACGAAUCAGCGAUUGGAACGGGUCACUUUUUGCAACUGCACUCCAACUUUCCUUGGCAUGCUCGUAUGUUCGAUGAGAGUUGGGACUGUGUGAUGAUGUACAAACUAGCGUAUGUGUCAUCAUGCAGAAAUUCACAGGAGGAUGAACGAACAGGACAUUGGAGCAACGGUU
Carya illinoinensis is the source of this 336-nucleotide long non-coding RNA. RefSeq lists it as uncharacterized. Lineage: Eukaryota; Viridiplantae; Streptophyta; Magnoliopsida; Fagales; Juglandaceae. The transcript is spliced from 3 exons. The record is from RefSeq and is a predicted model, not a curated record.